UUACUCUCUGCUCCCCCAGACUGGGAAAGCCUGCAGCUGGGCGGGAUGAUUUUUGGAGGGCUCCUGUGCAUCGCUGGAAUCCUGAUAGCCCUGAGUGGAAAGUGCAAGUGCAAGUACAGUCAGAAGCACAGCCCCUUACCUGAGAAGGCCAUUCCACUCAUCACUCCAG
Long non-coding RNA from Mirounga angustirostris (Northern elephant seal), 169 nucleotides. RefSeq lists it as uncharacterized. The record is from RefSeq and is a predicted model, not a curated record. Lineage: Eukaryota; Metazoa; Chordata; Mammalia; Carnivora; Phocidae. The transcript is spliced from 3 exons.